Non-coding RNA from Pelobates cultripes (western spadefoot toad), 285 nucleotides. The record is from the annotation of a GenBank genome assembly. NCBI's taxonomy places the organism in Eukaryota, Metazoa, Chordata, Amphibia, Anura, Pelobatidae.
CAGGAGGUAUUGUCACUGAGAAGAGAAGUCGCCUAGGUCAAAAAAGUCUAGAUUACCUCACCUUUAUUAAGAUGAAUGAGGGAUGGAUCCCGAAGGGACUGACACUGGGCGAUACAUUAGAUUAAAAAAAGGCCUGAUGAGAUGAGCUGCCUUGGGCUAAAAAUGGUCCACACGCUGCUGUAUUUUAGCUCUGAAUGCCUGUUGACUUGCGUGACUGAUCCGCCACUAACUUGGGUUCAAGCCGUCAUCUUUUAGGGCACUUUCUGCCUGUGAAACAAACAUCAG